RNAcentral lists this ribosomal RNA (250 nucleotides) under uncultured bacterium. RNAcentral describes it as "partial 16S ribosomal RNA". It matches the Rfam family "Bacterial small subunit ribosomal RNA", at positions 524 to 773 of the family's 1533-position model. RNAcentral also lists the same sequence under 1 other name. The record is from RNAcentral.
UACGAAGGGUGCAAGCGUUACUCGGAAUUACUGGGCGUAAAGCGUGCGUAGGUGGUGGUUUAAGUCUGUUGUGAAAGCCCUGGGCUCAACCUGGGAAUUGCAGUGGAUACUGGGUCACUAGAGCGUGGUAGAGGGUAGCGGAAUUCCCGGUGUAGCAGUGAAAUGCGUAGAGAUCGGGAAGAACAUCCGUGUCGAAGGCGGCUACCUGGACCAACACUGACACUGAGGCACGAAAGCGUGGGGAGCAAAC